This is a long non-coding RNA of Hypomesus transpacificus, 1274 nucleotides long. RefSeq lists it as uncharacterized. The transcript has 4 exons. The record is from RefSeq and is a predicted model, not a curated record. Lineage: Eukaryota; Metazoa; Chordata; Actinopteri; Osmeriformes; Osmeridae.
UUGUGAUUACUUCUAAAAUGCUAUGUCAAAUAUUUAAUUUUGUUAGGUCGCCAGUGAAGACAACAUAGGCCUACAUGUCUUUAGCACCACAGUUUUACUCAGUUUAGACUAAACUUUUAGUUUUAAGAUAGUUUACUUAAAAAAUAACUUUGACAGAAGAAAGAAAGGAGUGGCCAAGGCUAUGACGGUAGUGACGUAAAUAAACAGCGCCAUUUUGCCAAUAUCAGACGCAUUCAACAUGGGAACGUGGUUGUCGAAAAAAUCCAAGAAACCUACCCAGUGUGAGGAUAAUCGAGAGCCAAAAGAAUAUUGGGUUGUGUCUGAUGGCCUACACCAUGCACACGCACCAACAUCUAUGACACUGUCCAGUGUGAGGCCAUUACAGAGAUCCCGGAGUUUGAGCUCGUCUAUGAUGAUGCUCUGCAACCGCCAACCCUCACCCUCUUCGACCACUUGGGACAACCAACCUCUCCACAGGGACCAAUCAGGCCCAUCUUCUACCUCCAGGGACCAAUCAGGGCCAUCUUCUACCUCCAGGGACCAAUCAGGGCCAUCUUCUACCUCACAACGAAGGAACCCGUGCCUUACCUCAAACACACCAGUGAUGGUCCAAGCUAGGGGUCGACUGACUAUCGGUGUGGCCGAUUAUCGGCACCGAUAUUCAGUAUAUUUAUAGUUAUCGGUAUCGGUCAUUUUCAAAACCGAUUUGACGAUGUUAUACGUUUUUGUAUAUUUUUUUUCAAAAUUUUUAUAGAAUGCUGCUGGAUGCUCCCAUGGGUCCGUUCUUCGUACGUCCCAUAUUACAUCCGAAAUCAAAUGACACAUCCAAGAUGACAUCAUCUUGCUAAUAAUGAUCAGGCUAAUUAGGUUAUUCAAACACCCCGUUGUUAAUGAUUAGUUUAGCUGGAUUGGAUUGAGAAACCUUGAUCAGCAAUGCUGCUAGCCUAUUGGCUGGUCACCAUGGGCAAAAAGAGCUCCCCGGUUUUUCUUGUGUUUUUUUGGCACAGCACUUUGGUUUAGGUGUUUUUGACUUUGAGUUUUGUUUACGAGCUCCGGUGCGUUAGGCGCCUAGUUGCUCCGAAGGUAUGUUUUGUAGUUGAUUAUGUUUCAUGUUAUUGUAUUUAUUAUCUUACAAUUAUCUUCAUGGCAGCCCAUGGCGACUGUAUUGAGAGAUUGAAGGAAUCGAGUGACAUCAAGUCCUCGAGAAGUUAGUCUCACAAUCAGGGCCGUAACUACCAUUGAGGACACUGAGGUCGUGUCCUCUGUAUUUUUUU